GCCUGCCGCCACAUAAGAUGUGCCUUUGCUUUUCCUUCGCCUUCCACCAUGAUUGUGAGGCUUCUCCAGCCAUGUGGAACUGUGAGUCCAUUAAACCUCUUUCCUUUAUAAAUUACAGUCUCAGGUAUGUCUUUAUUAGCAGCAUGAGAAUGGACUAAUACAGCAGCUGAGAAUCCACAGCUCUCCUGAUGCUGCUGGCUCAGGGAGCAAACUUGAAAAGCAAAGUCUUAAAGAAUAAGCAAGACGUUCUGAAGCAGUGAAGAGAGUAAAAGGUGUUCAAGCAAAAAGGAAGUACAUAUCCAGAAAGGUGUGGAAGUCUGAAAGAGCAUGGUGUGUUUGGGAAACAGCAAGACUUUAGAUGAAGCAGCACCCCCAGCAUGGCAAAGCAGGAGAAAAAGACAGAAAGGUGGCUGUCUUGGAGAGAAGCAAUCAGAAAUAACAAACCAUGAUAAAGAAAGGAAAGACUGAUGGGCUUGUGAUCAGUGAAGGAAGGCAGUAACUAUGGAAAACAACAUGUCUUCACUAGGAAUACUUCCACUAGGUGGUGGCGGGCACCUGUAGUCCCUGGAGGCUGAGGCAGGAGAAUGGCGUGAACCCGGGAGGCGGAGCUUGCAGUAAGCUGAGAUUGCGUCACUGCACUCCAGCAUGGGUGACAGAGCGAGACUCCGUCUCAAAAAAUAAAAAUAAAUAAAGUUUGUAAAUAAAGUUUAUAUUGUAAAUAAUAAAUAAAAGUUUUGGUUUUUAAAGUUUAUUAAAUGUUUUCUCUCACUGUAGUUAGAAUUAUCUAAUAUGUGAAAUUUGCUUAUGUUGAAAAUUCAAGGAAGUAAAUAAGUUGUACUUCAAAGAGAAAAAAAUAUUAUGACAUUACUAUCAACAAUAAACCUUAGUAUCAUCAAGUUGUAAUGUGAGAUUGCGGGCAAUCCAAUUCACAGGAGUAAAUGUGUGAUUGAAGGAAGAGCUCCUUGCAAAGCUGGGUUUGGGAUGGUCCUUAAAGAAUAAGAAAUAUAUUAAAAUAAAAAAACUUUAAAAUAAAAAAAUAAUCAAUGGACUAGACUUUAUCUACUUUAGAAAAGUCUACUGCAGGUGAAGGGCUGUUGGCGUGAGUCCCAACAGAAGCUGGGGUGCCUACCAUCUCCUAGGACAGAAGCUGUUCUGCCCACUUGGGCUUGUUUGAGCACUUCUCCUUUGUAACCUGAAGCAUCAGGUAUUCUAAUCUAGUGGUUCCCCACUGGGGGUGAUUUUACCCUCCAGCAGGGAAUGUGGCACUAUCUGGAAGCAUUUUUGGCUGUCAUGACUUGCAGAAGGGGGGUUGUACCUGCCAUAUACUGGGUAGGGCCAAGGAUGCUGCCAAACAUGGUAUAAUACAGAAACCGGCCCCCUCAACAAAGAAUUAUCCAGCCCAAAAUGUCAACAGUGCUAAGGCUGAGAAAUGCAGCACCAAUCCUACCGGGAGAAUUACUUUUCAAAUUUGAAUCUUCUUCUGUGACAAAGGAAUGUGUGUCCAGAGAGUUCAGUGUAUUCAUCCUACAUUUACAUAUAAUUGUGUUACUCAUAUAUAAUCAGAUAUGAGUGUAUAUAUUAUGUAAUUAUAUAUCUAAUAUAUAAUUAUAUCCUUGAUCAAGAUCAAUUAAUUCAUUGUUCCUUCCUCUUAAUUGUGCUCCUAGUAAAAUGUCUUUUUUGUCUGUAUAUCAAGUGGUAAUUCCGCUUCCCCUUUCUUUCCAUACAUUCUUUUGUAUGACUUCUACAAAAAAAUUAAGAACAUAUAUAUGGUAACCAAUUCUUUGUGUCAAAUAUAUAAUUAUUACAUAUUAAAAUAUUCUAGAAGCUCAAAAAUAUUAAA
RNAcentral lists this long non-coding RNA (1840 nucleotides) under Homo sapiens (human). RNAcentral's name for it is "HSALNT0374720". The record is from RNAcentral. Lineage: Eukaryota; Metazoa; Chordata; Mammalia; Primates; Hominidae.